UUGAGUAACUCGCGCACUUGGGGCCCGUUUCCACCUAGGACUACAGGCUCAAGAUGGCCUGGUAGAUGCAGCCGGCACGCACCUCUCCUCUGACGGGAACCGAAGGAGCCGGUAGGUUUUCACACUUGCAGCAGAUCCGCUAAGAGAACGCGGGAUUCAGCCGAGAAGCCACGGGGAGCCCGAGGAGCGGAGCAGAGGCACCCAGGCAGCCUGCGCGGAGAAAUUGGAUCGGCGGGGACGGCCUGCAGCUCCCGCGCGCGGGGAAAGGGAAGAAGUCCUCCCCUACAAAGCAAAUUCACAAACUUGGAAGAAGCAAUUUACACAGGAUGUGCAGAUCUCAAUGGAAGGACACGGGAAACGUGAAAAAGCAAGGAAGUGGGACGCCUCCAAAGGAACCCAGUAAUUCUCCAGCAACAGAUCCCCAUCCAAAAGAAAUUCAAGAAAUGUCAUAUAGAGAAUUGUGGAAACUGAUUUUAACCAAGAUUAGAGGGAUUCAAGAGACUUCUGAAAAAGAAAGUAAGGAAAUGUCAACAGCAAUUCUGGAUAUGGUUGAGGUAUUUACCAACCAGAUACAGAGUUUUCCAGAGCACAUGGCAAAUGUGGAACUGAAGAAAUCACUGGAUGAAAUACAAAGUAUACUCGAAAGCUUCAAUGAUAGACUAGAUCAAGCAGAAAAAAAACUCUCAAAACUUAAAAUCUGAAGGCUUUUACUCAAUUCAAAUAUUUAAUGGGUUGUACUCUGGCCAUUCAGGUGAACAAAAUCUGCUGGGUUAAUUUUUUUUUUUUUUUUUUUUUUGAGAUGGAGUCUCGCUCUGUCGCCCAGGCUGGAGUGCAGUGGCGGGACCUCGGCUCACUGCAAGCUCCGCCUCCCAGGUUCACGCCAUUCUCCUGCCUCAGCCUCCUGAGUAGCUGGGACUACAGGUGCCCGCCACCACACCCGGCUUAUUUUUUGUAUUUUUAGUAGAGGUGGGGUUUCACUGUUAGCCAGGAUGGUCUCGAUCUCUUAACCUCGUAAUCCACCCGCCUCGGCCUCCCAAAGUGCUGGGAUUACAGGCGUGAGCCACUGCGCCUGGCCUUGGGUUGUUAUACUGGGGUCUUGAAUAAUCAUUAAAGGUGAAAUGAAAAUAAUUUCCUUUUGAGGUGGUCAAUUUUGUGAGAUGGAUUCUUGUUAGGCAGCUGUCAUGGAAAGAUGAUUUAGUUCAGUUGACAUUAAUAAUACGCAUGGUAAUCCUAACAGGUGAAUGUGGUUCAAACUAAAUUGCCAGGGAAUUGUCAUGGUCUAGAAAAGCCACUCUCUCCAGUAGACUGCUCACACAGCUACAUGUCAGCCCUCCUCACUGUGAAAGUGACAGACACCCUAGCAUUUUUAUUCAUCUCCCUUAGGUGCCUCAACUUUUUCUCCCACUCUCAGCUGAAAAGAGCUACAUCUACCAUUUCAUCUACUUAGUGUAUUUUCUUAUUGGCUAUGUUAAAAAAUUACAAACAUAACAAUUAUGAAUGAAAAAUAACUCCAUGGCUGGGUGCAGUGGCUCACACCUGUAAUCCCAGCACUUUGGGAGGCUGAGGCGGGUAGACCACAAGGUCAGGAGUUCAAGACCAGCCUGGCCAAGAUGGUGAAACCGUCUCUACUAAAAAUACAAAAAUUAGCCGGGUGCAGUGGCAGGCACCUGUAAUCCCAGCUGCUUGGGAGGCUGAGGGAGGAGAAUCAGUUGAACCCGGAGGGUGGAGAUUGCAGUGAGACUCUCAAAAAAACAAAACAACACAAAAAAAUCUCCUAAGAUGAUUAAAACAAACUUGCUUCUACAAUAAACCGUAAACUCACCGUAUCUAGUGAUUCUGUACAUUAAAUCUUUUGAACAUGUUUACCAAUUUGGUGUUAUGAAAAAUUUUUUAGAGGUUGUGUAUGGGCUGGGCACAAUGACUCAUGCCUGUAAUCCCACCACUUUGGGAGGCUGAGACGGGCGGAUCACUCAAGGACAGGAGUUCGAGAUCAGCUGGGGCAACAUGGCAAAACCCCAUCUCUACAAAAAGUACAAAAAUUAGCCAGGCGUGCACUAA
This 2058-nucleotide long non-coding RNA is filed under the name Homo sapiens (human). Its description in RNAcentral is "non-protein coding LNCPRESS1:19". The record is from RNAcentral. Lineage: Eukaryota; Metazoa; Chordata; Mammalia; Primates; Hominidae.